UUUCCGUAGGUGAACCUGCGGGAGGAUCAUUACUGAGUGAGGCCCCCCCGGGGUCCAACCUCCCACCCGUGUUUAACGAACCUUGUUGCUUCGGCCGGCCCGCCUCCCGGCCGCCCGCGGGCGAUUCCCCCCCGGCCCGCCCCCGCACAAUCCACCUGUUAACGCUGUCUGCAGUAUGCAGUCUGAGACAACUAAACAAUUAAUUAAAACUUUCAUCAACGCAUCUCUUGUUUCCGGCAUCGCAGAAGAACACAGCAGACCUGAAGAGCACACGUCUGG
This 279-nucleotide unclassified non-coding RNA is filed under the name plant metagenome. RNAcentral's name for it is "partial contains small subunit ribosomal RNA, internal transcribed spacer 1, and 5.8S ribosomal RNA". The record is from RNAcentral.